RNAcentral lists this long non-coding RNA (907 nucleotides) under Rattus norvegicus (Norway rat). Its description in RNAcentral is "long non-coding RNA NONRATT000883". Lineage: Eukaryota; Metazoa; Chordata; Mammalia; Rodentia; Muridae. The record is from RNAcentral.
GAUAUUCCUUAAAGAAGGAGUCUGUGUGCUAUACUGAAAGAAAAAUGUAGCUUCUAUACAGACCAUUCAGGAGUAAUUAAAGACUCCAUAAAUAAACUUAGAAAAAGGUUAGACAAAAGACAGACAGAAAAACACAUCAGAGAUGGUUCGAGAGCUAGUUUAGUAGAUCUCCCUGGAUGACUACCCUACUCUCUGCUACAGCUGGGCCAUUAUUAAUAAUUUUCUUGGUUUUAGUUUUUGGCCCCUGCGUGACAAACAGGUUAAUUGCUUUUGUUAAAAAUCGAGUGGGUGCUGUGCGGUUGAUGGUUCUGAGACAACAGUACCAGUCAGUUAGGACAACUGGUGAGACCAAAUACGAGACUUGAUAUCAAAAUUCUAAGAUUAGAAUUAUUUAGUAGGAGAAGACGGGAAUGAAAAGAGAAUUAUACGAAUUCUAGGUUUAGAAAUAUAAAAAUUAAAAGAAUAAACCCCAAAAGGCCACAGACCCAGGGCUAAGCCCUACAGCCAGGACUAGCAGGCCAUAAAGAUAAAGGAGCACAGGAAACACUGUUCAGACAGGACUGACAAGCCAUAAAGAAAAGGAAUGCAGGAACCAGCCUGAGUUAAUGGGACUGAUUCAUGGGACGUCUGACAGAAAGACAUCUCCCCCCAGCUCACUCAGAGCCAUCCUCCAGACCCUGAUAAGCCCCUGACUUCUAACACGUACUCUUUCUGCUUUGUUCUCACUGCUAUGUUUGAAUGAGCCAAUUGUAUGUAACCACGCCAAAACCCCCUAGCCUUCUCUAUAUAACCCUCUGACUUUUGAGUUUCGGGGUCGACACCUCUGUCUCCUGCGUGGGAUAUGUGUCGGCCCGGAGAUCUCUGUAAUAGGUCUCCGUAAUAAACCUCGCCUUUGCUUAUUACAUCC